Molecule: long non-coding RNA, 246 nt
Filed under: Carica papaya (papaya)
Lineage: Eukaryota; Viridiplantae; Streptophyta; Magnoliopsida; Brassicales; Caricaceae
Description: long non-coding RNA (CPAP_LNC001058)
Source: RNAcentral
AAAGAAAAUACUAUGAAUGAAUGUUGUAAGGAAAACUAAUAAAUUCUUUGGCUUCUACUCGACGUCUUCCUGCAGAACAGGCUCGGGAACCAAGUCCUCCUGAUCUGAAAUGGUUAAGUAAGGAAUGAGCUACACUAGCCCAGUAAAGACAUCACACUAUCUCACUGUCACAGAAGUAAAGGUUGGUAGAAAACGAAAAUGACCAAUGGAGCAUGAUUUAUAAAAAACUCAUUUAUCAAUAAUAAA